Molecule: ribosomal RNA, 253 nt
Filed under: uncultured bacterium
Lineage: Bacteria
Description: partial 16S ribosomal RNA
Rfam family: Bacterial small subunit ribosomal RNA
Source: RNAcentral
UACGGGGGGGGCAAGCGUUGUUCGGAAUUACUGGGCGUAAAGGGCGCGUAGGCGGAUAGUACAGUCAGGCGUGAAAUUCCUGGGCUCAACCUGGGGGCUGCGUUUGAUACGUGUUGUCUGGAGUUCGGAAGAGGGUCGUGGAAUUCCCAGUGUAGAGGUGAAAUUCGUAGAUAUUGGGAAGAACACCGGUGGCGAAGGCGGCGACCUGGUCCGAUACUGACGCUGAGGCGCGAAAGCGUGGGGAGCAAACAGG